This 429-nucleotide ribosomal RNA is filed under the name uncultured bacterium. RNAcentral's name for it is "bacterial SSU rRNA". It matches the Rfam family "Bacterial small subunit ribosomal RNA", at positions 355 to 776 of the family's 1533-position model. The record is from RNAcentral.
UGGGGAAUUUUGCGCAAUGGACGAAAGUCUGACGCAGCAACGCCGCGUGGAGGAUGAAGGUCUUUGGAUUGUAAACUUCUGUUAAUUGGAAAGAAAGACUAAGGGUUAAUACCCCUUAGAGAUGACGUUACCGAUAAAGAAAGCCCCGGCUAACUUCGUGCCAGCAGCCGCGGUAAUACGAAGGGGGCAAGCGUUAUUCGGAAUGAUUGGGCGUAAAGGGUAUGUAGGCGGUUGAAUAAGUCUAGUAUUUAAUUUUCUGGCCUAACUAGAAAAAUGUAUUAGAUACUGUUCGGCUAGAGUGUGAUAGAGAAAAAUGGAAUUCUUGGAGUAGCGGUAAAAUGCGUAGAUCUCAAGAGGAACGCCAAUGGCGAAGGCAAUUUUUUGGGGCACAACUGACGCUGAUAUACGAAGGCGUGGGGAGCAAACAGG